UACGUAGGGCGCAAGCGUUAUCCGGAAUUAUUGGGCGUAAAGAGCUCGUAGGCGGUUUGUCGCGUCUGCCGUGAAAGUCCGGGGCUCAACUCCGGAUCUGCGGUGGGUACGGGCAGACUAGAGUGAUGUAGGGGAGACUGGAAUUCCUGGUGUAGCGGUGAAAUGCGCAGAUAUCAGGAGGAACACCGAUGGCGAAGGCAGGUCUCUGGGCAUUAACUGACGCUGAGGAGCGAAAGCAGGGGGAGAGAACAGG
Molecule: ribosomal RNA, 253 nt
Filed under: uncultured bacterium
Lineage: Bacteria
Description: partial 16S ribosomal RNA
Rfam family: Bacterial small subunit ribosomal RNA
Source: RNAcentral